CAGUAGCCGCGGGAACACGUAGGGUGCAAGCGUUAAUCGGAAUUACUGGGCGUAAAGCGUGCGCAGGCGGUUCGCUAAGACAGAUGUGAAAUCCCCGGGCUUAACCUGGGAACUGCAUUUGUGACUGGCGGGCUAGAGUAUGGCAGAGGGGGGUAGAAUUCCACGUGUAGCAGUGAAAUGCGUAGAGAUGUGGAGGAAUACCGAUGGCGAAGGCAGCCCCCUGGGCCAAUACUGACGCUCAUGCACGAAAGCGUGGGGAGCAAACAGGAUUAGAUACCCGUGUAGUCCCUGUCUCUUAUAU
Molecule: ribosomal RNA, 301 nt
Filed under: uncultured bacterium
Lineage: Bacteria
Description: partial 16S ribosomal RNA
Rfam family: Bacterial small subunit ribosomal RNA
Source: RNAcentral